UGGCAGCUGGGACAGCACUUACAUGUAUGCAUUUCAAGUUAUAGUUUUGAGAAAAACGAGUAUUUAUGGAGAUUGCUCGAGAAUGUAACAGCGAUUUUAACCAGUGUGUGGAGAAAUUCUGUAGGGGAAGACUGAGAAUUUUCUAAAUCCAAUGUGGGACCCGGGGCGCGGCUACUCGGAUACGGAAAUACGAAGUGGGCCUCAUGGAAGUGUGACUCUGUAUCGAUGGCUACAAGGUGGUCAAGUUUGAAUAGCAGAAGAAGAAGAAGAUGGCAUCUUGGAUUUCCAGCUCAGCAGUAGGAGAGUUUAGGAUUUGAAGGGGAAAUUUCUCAGUUUUAUCUUCCUGAAUGUAAACCGUGUGGCAGAUGACAUCCUCUAUUGCCAUGGAGAGAGCUGCGCUUGCAGAGGUUACCAACCAAAUUCCAAGUCAGGAAAGGAUAGCAAUGAAAAGUGACACAUUCUUCAGGUCACAGAAACACCUGUGGAAGAUUUAUUGGCCAUCAGAGGUCACAUGACAAGCGUGCUCAUCUGGUCGGACCAAGUCAUCCAUGUCUGGUUAUUACAAGACAGAACCCAAGAUGUCCCCGGCAGCCUUGGGUUCCUUAGACGUUAGCUGGUUGACCUUGUGACACAAGAUGUCUCCAGGCAGCCUAGUAUGUCAGUUUGUCCCUCUCACGGCUUCAGCAUCACAGCCUUCAAGACUAGAGAAAGGCUGCAAAUCUUCGACUGCAACUUUCUUCUGCUGUUGGCUAAGAAUAGUGGGAAAAAUGUUAAAUUAUGAAUUCCACGUUCCGGAGCUGUUUAUGUUCAGAAACACUUGGUGCGUUUGUUUGCAAGUUGAAUUUGGAGAAAAGGGGACCUUUCUGUGCAAGAAUGGUGGUCUUUGAAAUCAGAGACACGUUGUUUAGCAUUUUCCAACUGUUGUAGUUUUGUAAAGAACAAAUUUCACAGUGCUGGCAUUGAGCCAGUGAGUUUGUAAUAAAACAGUGAAAGUGGAUGAAUUUGA
Long non-coding RNA from Acanthaster planci (crown-of-thorns starfish), 1006 nucleotides. Lineage: Eukaryota; Metazoa; Echinodermata; Asteroidea; Valvatida; Acanthasteridae. The record is from RefSeq and is a predicted model, not a curated record.